UUGCCCUUUUCUUUUGGAUCUCAUACUUUUUAGGAUUAAAUGCAUACAGAUUCCUAUAAAUAUAGUGAAUUACAAAUAUAUCUUUACAAAAUUUAAUUUUUAUAUAUUGUCCCUAUAAAAAUUCUAAUAUUUUCAAAUAUGUCCCUCUGGUUUGUUACCGUUAUAAAAUUGUUUAGGAAUAAUAGCCUAUAAACUUCUCAAAACUUCAGAAAUAUCUUUUUUUUUUUCUUUUCAAUAUAUCCCUCAUGUUCUUCCGUUAUUCCAAAAUAUCCUUACAGUUACCACCCAUUAAGUUAACUUGGGUUAAACGUGAGUUAAACAUCUACUAGAGUUAAGAAAAAAUCAAAAUGUCUCUUUUACCCUUAACUUAAGGACAAAUAAGAAAUAUUGGUGAUGGUAGAAGGGUAUAUUUGAAAAAAUUAAAAAUCAAAAUAUUUUUUGUACUCCUAACUUAAGGGCAAAUAAGAAAAGUUGAUGAUGGUGGAAGGGUAUAUUUGAAAAGAUAAAAUAGUAAUUUCAUACAGAUAACAGUUAUUCCUAACAAUUUAUUGACAGAAUUUAACUCUAGGGAUAUAUUUGAAAUAGUUGGAACGUACAAAAGUUAUUUUUAAUAUUAACCUUCUAAGAGGGGGUAAAUUAAAAAGUCAAAAAAUUUUCAGAGAUAUGUAAGAAAUUGCCCUUAUUGUUUAUAUUUUAAAUAAAAUGUCAUUUUUGCCAUCAUAAAUAUGUCCUUUCAAAAGCCACAACGAUAUAAUAUAAGAGGGACAAAAAUAUCAAAUUAUCUCAUGAACUAACUAGAGUUAAGCAUUUAAUCUAUACUUAACUAAAGUUUCCUAACAGAGUUUAAUGAUAGGAACAUAUUUAAAAAUAUUAGGACUUUUACAAAAAUAAUAUACAAAAAUUAAAUUUAUAAAAAUAUAUUUAUAAUUUACUAUAUUUAUAGAAAACUGUAUGAAAUUAACUCUAUUUUUUAUAACUUAAACACUCAUAUGCUGCACUAAAGAUACUUGCACAAAUUGAGAGAGAUAGAAAAGCUAGAAAAGGUGUUGUAUGAAAAGCUAGAAAGAGUGUUGUACUAUCAGAUAGCACUGCACUCAUAUCAUAAUAAACUUUUCUUGUCUGGUUUGAAUAAAUGAGGCUUCAGUAUCGGACUGAAGCAUUUUGAGUCGAUAAUUUAGAUCCAAUAAGUUAUUAUUGUCAGCGGAUCGGAUCGGACCGGUGAUUUGGUUCCAACAAAUUAUUAUUGCUAGCGGGUCGGAUCGAGUCGUUAUAAUAUAAUAAUCACGGUUUGUGAUCUUUUGCCACUCGGUCCUUGGGAUCGACUUUGCUCAGAAAAUGAUGCAAAAAUUGAAGAAAAUCAGGGCCGGUGGUUUGGUUCCAACGAGUUAUUAUUAUUAGUGGGUCGGGUCUGGUCGGGUCGAUACGAUAAUAAUCACGGUUUGUGAUCAUUUAAGACUAGGUCCUUGGGAUAGACUUUGCUCAGAAAAUGAUGCAAAAAUUGAAAAACUCCAACUACAUAUUAUUGCUAACAGAUCGGAUCGCUACAAUAAUAAUUAUGGUUUGUGAUCUCUUUCGACUGGGUCCCUUGGGAUCGAUUUU
Molecule: long non-coding RNA, 1599 nt
Filed under: Ananas comosus (pineapple)
Lineage: Eukaryota; Viridiplantae; Streptophyta; Magnoliopsida; Poales; Bromeliaceae
Description: long non-coding RNA (ACOM_LNC032913)
Source: RNAcentral